UCGUUGCAGGGACCAAAAUAAAACCAUUUAAUGAGUUAAUUAAUUGUAGUUAAUUACGCCUUAACUUUUCUACUCAACGCCAGAUGUCGCUCUAAAGCAAAAUUCUACUUGACGUAAAACAUUUAUACAUCGCGGUAAUCUCGUCAGUCUUACUCCAUCAUUUUAAAAAGUAUAGACUAGUUUAUGGAUUUCUAAAGUUAUGUCAAGAUGACUGAAUGUAAUAUUGUCAACAAUAAUUGUCAAAACACGCAAUUUAAAAUAUUCAACAUUGUAAUUACAAAAUAGUAUAUUUCUAAUACGCUAUAAUUUUCUCCAAUCGAAAGGCACUCCAUUCCAUUGAUCUCAGAGAGUAUGCUCCUUGAUGAUCUUCACUAUUCAUGGGCAUUUUUAAGUUAUUCAUCGGACACUGAGGCCAUUGAAGUUUUAAGCUGGCGGCAUCAAAAUGGAGUACCUAGAAACCAUACGGCAAUAAUGAGGAUGCAUCGACAUAAGAAGAAUCGAACAUGGGCAAGAUAAAGUUCAAGAAAAAAGCAAAUAUAAUGUGUACUUGUGUGUAGUCAAAGAAAGUUGAAAAAUAAAGCAUAAUUAAUGGCCAUAGAAUACAGAACCGAUACACGAACAUUAAGACUAUUAAAUAUAGACAUAUAGGUUGAUCGUACUACUCGUACUAAUGUAUUUCUUUUGUUCAAUUAUAUUAUUGCAUUAAAGUUAGAUUCUCUAGAUAUAUAUUAUUCAUAGGUUCUGUAUUCUAUAUGAAUUGUUUUAGUGUAAUUAUUGUACUAAAUACCGUUGACCGCCUGUCAACAGUAUUUAUCUCUACAUUACUAUCACAGAAGAUUUUAGGCCCUACAGUAGUUUUUGAAUUAGUAUUUACUAUGGACAAAAUAGCGAAAUCUGAGUUUUUACCUAAAAUAUCAAUCUUUUGUGAACGUGGUGUAGAGUAUAUACCGCCUUAGACUGAAGUAGCUACGCGGGCAACGUUUUCAAAAUAGAAUCGUGUUCAUGGUCGGCCCAUGGUAAAAAUAAUUAGGUACCCGUAGACCCACUGGUGAACACUGUUUAUGAUAACACUUAAAAUAAACCCCGUGGACCCACCAGGAGAACAUAUUGGAGACACUAGAGAUAAUACACCGCUUUAAGGGCGGUCGUACACGGCAUUGACAUCUGGCGUCUAGAUGGCGGGUGGACCUCAGCGAAUUUCAAAGAAAUAUUUAUAAACAUCCAAUGACGUUCGGCUCGGAAACCAGAUCUUCAAUCUCCUGAUUCCUGUGGAGUCUCCAGGUUCCAUCCUCUCCACGUGAGGGUCCUAGGAUUUUUCGCGCUGCCAGACUCCGAUGACUCGGGCACGUAGUCCAGAUGGGUGAGGAUCGUGCAGCCUGAAGGGCGUACUCUGAAGUUUCAAAUGGCCGAAGACCGUCUAGACGUCCUAGGUAGGUCCCGCUGGAGAGAUGAAAUGCAAAAAGACCUUAGCGAACUCGGCGCCGUCGACUAGAUGGAAACUGUUUUGGACAGAGAAGCAUGGCGGUCUUUGGUGUCGGAGGCCAAGAUCCACUUCGGGUCGCUGCGCCACAGCAGUAAGUAAGUAUUUAUAAACAUAUUGUACCUUCUGUGUACCUAACCAAAAACGAGAUAUUUAAGAAAAAGUCCACCCGCUAUUCUGACGUCAGGAUUGCGGUUGGACCUAUGAAAUCUUGCAUUAUACCGCACUAAAAGUAUGCAGUUAUAUGGUACAGUCGCCAUCAGAUAUAUCGGAGUGGCCGAGGUGCUCAAAGAUAUCUAAACACGCAUUGUACCUUCAGUGUACCUCUGUAAAUAGAAAUAGAAACCGGUGUACCUCUCCCCAAAACAAGCUAGGCUAAGCUCAUGCAAGAUUUCAUAGGUCCACCCGCCAUCCUGACGUCAGGUUGGCGGGUGGACCGUUUUGUAAAAUAUCUCGUCUCGGUCUAUUAAAGGUACACUGAGGUACACAGAAGGUACAAUAUGUUUAUUAAUAUUUCUUUGAAAUUCGCUGAGGUCCACCGCCAUCCUAACGCUUACCAUAUAUCUAAGGACCGACCUUAGGGGCAAUAACGAUAGUGCUAGUUCAGAUGUGUCAUUCACAAAUUCGAGCCAAUCGUGCUGUCUAACGCAACUAGAACUCAUCAACCAAUCACGUUGUGGUACUUGUGGCGUUAGACUGCACGAUUGGCUCAAACUCGUGUGCGUAACACCGCUGUACUGGCCUCAUUCUUAUUGCCCGUAAGGCCCGUCCUCAGAUAUAUUAUGUCAAUGACACAGUCGCGAUUUAAAAAACACAUUUUCUGCUACCAAAUUGUUGAGCAUAACGUUUUCCUAUCCAUAGGUUCCAUCUGUCCAGUAGGAUCCACCAUCUCGAUCCACCAGAUUGAAGAGAUUGUUACUUAACUGAUGGAUCGAGAUAAUUAAACCUACUGAAUAGAGCGGGUCGAUUGGAUAUAACAAAGUACGCUUAUAUGAAACGCUGCUCCGGUGUGCGAGUGAGACAGUCAGGCCAAUUUGAACUUGCAUUUGACAGAAAACUGAUUGUCUCCAUCAAACGCUACCAGUUCCAUUGCCGGCCUCUUUGCUGCCUUCUAUAGUGGUUCAAUCUUACCUUGUUUAUGAAUAAAAAGGGGCGUGCACACCGAUGUUAAAGUAAUAUUGGAAUCAUAUCAGUUACUUGCGGGCGUCUCGCUCGCACAAAUACAUGCGUAUAAGUGCGAAAUGAACGCACGAAUGACAGCUAACUGGUAUCAUUCCAAUAUUAUCCUAAAAUUGAUUUAUUGUCAGUUGCACUUUCGAAUUGGUCUACAUAACGAUUUCCUUAGCCUGCACACCGGAUCGGCGUGUGGGCCGGCAUCUAGCUAAUGUAAAGCCACCUCAUUAGGUGAUUUUAGCCUUUUGAACGGCAAGAACACCUAAAGAUGUGGUGAGAGAAAGCCGCGCGUCCCUCAUGCACUGCACUAGCUUUACAGCUUGCAUUGCGACCAAUGUAUGCUGCUCACCGCCCCGCCGGUCGCGUGGGUCCAAUCCGCGGCCCUAGAAGACGUACUUUACAUAUAAACAAGAGCACGCGAGCAUUUUGCGAGUUGUGUAUGUGUACUUGUGUUAUCUAGGCGCACAAACGGUUACAAUAACAAGAAGUGUACACCGCGUGUGCAGUCCAACACGGGAUCACGGGUGCGAUUCGAAAAUAACGUGCUAGCGACGCAUUACGACAUUGAUACUUUACCCUUUGAACGCCAUAACAAAAACGUUACUCACAUGCCAAGGUCACGGGCGCAAGUGAGCUUGAAAGUGCAUGAGUAUUACAUUAGGGACUUUGACAGCGAUUAUAACAGCUACAAUCAAUAAUGUGUUCAUGGCCCUUAAAUCAUGUCUAGUGACGGCGCCUUUAGGUGUUCUUGACGUUCAAAAGGUUAAGGGCGUUUGCUAGCUGGCGCUAGUGCACGGAGCGGGCAAACACGCGCAGGUGCCUUUGUAAGUAAAAUCAGUCGCACGCGUCCGCGCCAGUUAGCGUUGCUCAUACUGUAAGCCGCACGCCCGCUCCGUGCACACGCGCGACGUUGCGGACGCCCUAUGCCCUAAACCUUACUUGAAAGUGUGAAGGUUACUCUGACAGCGGCUAUAUCAGCUAUAAUGUAUUUAUGACGCUUUGAGCAUAGCUAGUUACGACGCCUUAAGGUAUUCUUGGCGUUCAAAAGGUUAAGGGCGUUUGCUAGCUGGCGCGAGUGCACGGAGCGGAUGCACGCGCGCGGGUGCCUUUGUAGGUAAAAUUCGUCGCACGCGUCCGCGCCAGUUAGCGUCGCCAGUUACUGUUUUUCGUUAACCCGCUCCAGCUAGCAAACUAAUCGCAAAUGGUCCGAGAUUGGCGCAAUAACCAUGCAUUCCCUUAUCUGGAUGCACCUAUUCACCAAUGCUUGCUUUAAAGUAACUUGUCGACUCGUCCUGAUAAUAUUUGUGCGACCGUGAAGAAAAUCUAUGCCGUCACUUAGUUUUCAAUUUAUAUGAAAUAAAGAUGUUAAAUGUAUUCAAAAGUUUUUAUUUAUUAAGGUAUGUAUAAGUGCUCUGUGCAUCCGCACCAGCUAGCGGUGCCCUUAGCAAACCGCAAUAACCAUGCAUUCUCUUAUCUGGAUCUGGAUGCACCUAUUCACCAAUGCUUGCUUUAAAUUAACUUGUCGACUCAUCCUGCUAAUAUUUGUGCGACCGUGAAGAAAAUGUAUGGCGUCAGUUAUUUUUCAAUUUAUAUGAAAUAAAGGUGUUAAAUGUAUUCAAAAGUUUUUAUUUCAUAUGUAUAUAUAAUGGAACGAAAUACAGCUACUAUCUUAGCUUGGCAAGCAGUUAAGAGUCGCUGAUACUUGUAAUGUAUUCACUGCGUUAAUUUUAGGUUUAAGAUUC
Long non-coding RNA from Cydia pomonella (codling moth), 4395 nucleotides. RefSeq lists it as uncharacterized. The record is from RefSeq and is a predicted model, not a curated record. NCBI's taxonomy places the organism in Eukaryota, Metazoa, Arthropoda, Insecta, Lepidoptera, Tortricidae. The transcript is spliced from 3 exons.